This 193-nucleotide small nuclear RNA is filed under the name Polistes fuscatus (common paper wasp). RNAcentral's name for it is "U2 spliceosomal RNA". It matches the Rfam family "U2 spliceosomal RNA". Rfam says of the family: U2 is a small nuclear RNA (snRNA) component of the spliceosome (involved in pre-mRNA splicing). Complementary binding between U2 snRNA (in an area lying towards the 5' end but 3' to hairpin I) and the branchpoint sequence (BPS) of the intron results the bulging out of an unpaired adenosine, on the BPS, which initiates a nucleophilic attack at the intronic 5' splice site, thus starting the first of two transesterification reactions that mediate splicing. Lineage: Eukaryota; Metazoa; Arthropoda; Insecta; Hymenoptera; Vespidae. The record is from RNAcentral.
AUCGCUUCUCGGCUCAUUGAGCUAAGAUCAAAGUGUAGUAUCUGUUCUUAUCAGCUUAAUAUCUGAUACGCAGUUCAUAGAACUGCCAGAAUAUUAGCUAGAUUUUUAUAACCUGGCGGAAUUGUGGAGCUUGCUUCGCAUCUGCCGAGAGUUGUGUCGGUCUUGCAGUACUUCCGACUUCAGCUCACCCAAU